This 424-nucleotide ribosomal RNA is filed under the name uncultured bacterium. RNAcentral's name for it is "bacterial SSU rRNA". It matches the Rfam family "Bacterial small subunit ribosomal RNA", at positions 355 to 776 of the family's 1533-position model. RNAcentral also lists the same sequence under 1 other name. The record is from RNAcentral.
UGAGGAAUAUUGGUCAAUGGGCGUAAGCCUGAACCAGCCAUCCCGCGUGAAGGAAGAAGGCGCUAUGCGUCGUAAACUUCUUUUCCAGAGGAAUAAAAUUUUGUACGAGUACAGAACUGAAGGUACUUUGGGAAUAAGCAUCGGCUAACUCCGUGCCAGCAGCCGCGGUAAUACGGAGGAUGCGAGCGUUAUCCGGAUUUAUUGGGUUUAAAGGGUGCGUAGGCGGAUUAAUAAGUCAGUGGUGAAAACCUUCAGCUUAACUGGAGAACUGCCAUUGAUACUGUUAGUCUUGAGUACGGUCAAGGUAGGCGGAAUGUGUAAUGUAGCGGUGAAAUGCUUAGAUAUUACACAGAACACCGAUUGCGAAGGCAGCUUACUGGGCCAUUACUGACGCUGAUGCACGAAAGCGUGGGGAGCGAACAGG